This 780-nucleotide ribosomal RNA is filed under the name uncultured bacterium. RNAcentral's name for it is "bacterial SSU rRNA". It matches the Rfam family "Bacterial small subunit ribosomal RNA", at positions 8 to 796 of the family's 1533-position model. The record is from RNAcentral.
AGAGUUUGAUCAUGGCUCAGGACGAACGCUGGCGGCGUGCUUAACACAUGCAAGUCGAACGAGGUCCAUCCGGUGGCAACACCGGAGAAGACUUAGUGGCGAACGGGUGAGUAACACGUGAGCAACCUGCCCCGAAGACCGGGAUAACAGCGGGAAACCGCUGCUAAUACCGGAUACCCCCACCGGGUCACAUGGCUCGAUGAGGAAAUGGAUUCCGCUUCGGGAGGGGCUCGCGGCCUAUCAGCUUGUUGGUGAGGUAACGGCCCACCAAGGCGACGACGGGUAGCUGGUCUGAGAGGACGAUCAGCCACACUGGGACUGAGACACGGCCCAGACUCCUACGGGAGGCAGCAGUGGGGAAUCUUGCGCAAUGGGCGAAAGCCUGACGCAGCAACGCCGCGUGAGGGAUGAAGGCCUUCGGGUUGUAAACCUCUUUCGAGCAGGGACGAUAAUGACGGUACCUGCAGAAGAAGCUCCGGCCAACUACGUGCCAGCAGCCGCGGUAAUACGUAGGGAGCGAGCGUUGUCCGGAUUCAUUGGGCGUAAAGAGCUCGUAGGCGGCUUGAUAAGUCGGAUGUGAAACCUCCAGGCUCAACCUGGAGUCGCCAUCCGAUACUGUCAUGGCUAGAGUCCGGUAGGGGCCCACGGAACUCCUGGUGUAGCGGUGAAAUGCGCAGAUAUCAGGAAGAACACCGGUGGCGAAGGCGGUGGGCUGGGCCGGCACUGACGCUGAGGAGCGAAAGCGUGGGGAGCGAACAGGAUUAGAUACCCCAGUAGUCC